This 450-nucleotide ribosomal RNA is filed under the name Nitrobacter sp. LL. RNAcentral's name for it is "bacterial LSU rRNA". It matches the Rfam family "Bacterial large subunit ribosomal RNA", at positions 1 to 383 of the family's 2925-position model. Lineage: Bacteria; Pseudomonadati; Pseudomonadota; Alphaproteobacteria; Hyphomicrobiales; Nitrobacteraceae. The record is from RNAcentral.
AUGCAAACAUUCAUGCUCGAGUAAGGCGGGACACGUGAAAUCCUGUCUGAACAUGGGGGGACCACCCUCCAAGCCUAAGUACUCCUCAGCGACCGAUAGUGAACCAGUACCGUGAGGGAAAUCAAGUGGGGAGCUGCGAAGAAGCUUUGAUCCACGGAUUUCCGAAUGGGGAAACCCACCUUCGAUAGCCGAAACUCUAAGCUCAUGAUGACGCAAGUCGUCGUGGGUUUGGAUUUUCGGUUAUCAAGUGAAGGUAUGAGACUUCUGAAUACAUAGGAGGUUUCAAGCAAACCCAGGGAACUGAAACAUCUAAGUACCUGGAGGAAAGGACAUCAACAGAGACUCCGUUAGUAGUGGCGAGCGAACGCGGACCAGGCCAGUCAUGAAUGUGAGACAACCAGAACCUGUCAGGAAAGCAGGGCCUCAGAGGGUGAUAGCCCCGUAUGGGUA